This 465-nucleotide ribosomal RNA is filed under the name uncultured bacterium. RNAcentral's name for it is "bacterial SSU rRNA". It matches the Rfam family "Bacterial small subunit ribosomal RNA", at positions 330 to 793 of the family's 1533-position model. The record is from RNAcentral.
UCCAGACUCCUACGGGAGGCAGCAGUGAGGAAUAUUGGUCAAUGGGCUUACGCCUGAACCAGCCAAGCCGCGUGAGGGAAGACGGCCCUAUGGGUUGUAAACCUCUUUUGUCGGAGAACAAAACCCGGGACGUGUCCCGGACUGCGUGUAUCCGAAGAAAAAGCAUCGGCUAACUCCGUGCCAGCAGCCGCGGUAAUACGGAGGAUGCGAGCGUUAUCCGGAUUUAUUGGGUUUAAAGGGUGCGUAGGCGGUCCGUUAAGUCAGCGGUAAAAUUGCGGGGCUCAACCCCGUACUGCCGUUGAAACUGCAUCCCUUGAGUGCGCGAGAAGUAUGCGGAAUGCGUGGUGUAGCGGUGAAAUGCAUAGAUAUCACGCAGAACUCCGAUUGCGAAGGCAGCAUACCGGCGCGCAACUGACGCUCAUGCACGAAAGCGUGGGUAUCGAACAGGAUUAGAUACCCGGGUAA